AGUGAACGCUGGCGGUAGGCCUAACACAUGCAAGUCGAACGGCAGCACAGUAAGAGCUUGCUCUUACGGGUGGCGAGUGGCGGACGGGUGAGGAAUACAUCGGAAUCUACUUUUUCGUGGGGGAUAACGUAGGGAAACUUACGCUAAUACCGCAUACGACCUACGGGUGAAAGCAGUGGAUCUUCGGACCUUGCGCGAUUGAAUGAGCCGAUGUCGGAUUAGCUAGUUGGCGGGGUAAAGGCCCACCAAGGCGACGAUCCGUAGCUGGUCUGAGAGGAUGAUCGGCCACACUGGAACUGAGACACGGUCCAGACUCCUACGGGAGGCAGCAGUGGGGAAUAUUGGACAAAGGGCGCAAGCCUGAUCCAGCCAUACCGCGUGGGUGAAGAAGGCCUUCGGGUUGUAAAGCCCUUUUGUUGGGAAAGAAAAGCAGCAGGUUAAUACCCCGCUGUUCUGACGGUACCCAAAGAAUAAGCACCGGCUAACUUCGUG
RNAcentral lists this ribosomal RNA (492 nucleotides) under uncultured bacterium. RNAcentral describes it as "partial 16S ribosomal RNA". It matches the Rfam family "Bacterial small subunit ribosomal RNA", at positions 29 to 507 of the family's 1533-position model. The record is from RNAcentral.